GAUGAAGAACGCAGCGAAAUGCGAUACUUGGUGUGAAUUGCAGAAUCCCGUGAACCAUCGAGUCUUUGAACGCAAGUUGCGCCCGAAGCCAUUAGGCCGAGGGCACGCCUGCCUGGGCGUCACACGUCGUUGCCCCCCCAUCUACUCCUUCGGGAUUGCGGGGGGCGGAUGAUGGCCUCCCGUGCGCCUCGCCGCGCGGUUGGCAUAAAUGCCAAGUCCUCGGCGACGCACGCCACGACAAUCGGUGGUUGCGAAACCUCGGUUGCCCGUCGUGUGCGGUCGUCGCGCAUCGAGGGCUCGAAAAAAUUGCCGGGUUCCGGCUCGGCUUUCAACGCGACCCCAGGUCAGGCGGGGUUACACGCUGAAUUUAAGCAUAUCAAUAAGCGGAGGA
Molecule: unclassified non-coding RNA, 391 nt
Filed under: soil metagenome
Description: partial contains 5.8S ribosomal RNA, internal transcribed spacer 2, and large subunit ribosomal RNA
Rfam family: 5.8S ribosomal RNA (bases 1-122)
Source: RNAcentral